GACGAACGCUGGCGGCGUGCUUAACACAUGCAAGUCGAACGGAAAGGCCCUGCUUUUGUGGGGUGCUCGAGUGGCGAACGGGUGAGUAACACGUGAGUAACCUGCCCUUGACUUUGGGAUAACUUCAGGAAACUGGGUCUAAUACCGGAUAGGAGCUCCUGCUGCAUGUUGGGGGUUGGAAAGUUUCGGCGGUUGGGGAUGGACUCGCGGCUUAUCAGCUUGUUGGUGUGGUAGUGGCUUACCAAGGCUUUGACGGGUAGCCGGCCUGAGAGGGUGACCGGCCACAUUGGGACUGAGAUACGGCCCAGAAUCCUACGGGAGGCAGCAGUGGGGAAUAUUGCACAAUGGGCGGAAGCCUGAUGCAGCAACGCCGCGUGCGGGAUGACGGCCUUCGGGUUGUAAACCGCUUUCGCAUGUGACGAAGCGUGAGUGACGGUAAUGGGUAAAGAAGCACCGGCUAACUACGUG
RNAcentral lists this ribosomal RNA (468 nucleotides) under uncultured bacterium. RNAcentral's name for it is "partial 16S ribosomal RNA". It matches the Rfam family "Bacterial small subunit ribosomal RNA", at positions 28 to 507 of the family's 1533-position model. The record is from RNAcentral.